AGUUUGAUCAUGGCUCAGAUUGAACGCUGGCUUGGCACAGCCUAACACAUGCAAGUCGAGCGGCAGCACAAGUAAGUUUACUUAUGAGGUGGCGAGCGACGGACGGGUGAGUAAUGCCUAGGGAUCUGCCCAGUCGAGGGGGAUAACAGUUGGAAACGACUGCUAAUACCGCAUACGCCCUACGGGGGAAAGGAGGGGACCUUCGGGCCUUCCGCGAUUGGAUGAACCUAGGUGGGAUUAGCUAGUUG
RNAcentral lists this ribosomal RNA (248 nucleotides) under uncultured bacterium. RNAcentral's name for it is "partial 16S ribosomal RNA". It matches the Rfam family "Bacterial small subunit ribosomal RNA", at positions 10 to 251 of the family's 1533-position model. The record is from RNAcentral.